GGAUGUGAGGGCGAUCUGGUUGCGACAUCUGUCACCCCAUUGAUCGCCAGGGUUGAUUCGGCUGAUCUGGCUGGCUAGGCGGGUGUCCCCUUCCUCCCUCACCGCUCCAUGUGCGUCCCUCCCGAAGCUGUGCGCUCGGUCGAAGAGGACGACCAUCCCCGAUAGAGGAGGACCGGUCUUCGGCCAAGGGUAUAUGAGUAGCUGCGCUCCCCUGCUAGAACCUCCAAACAAGCUCUCAAG
RNAcentral lists this long non-coding RNA (240 nucleotides) under Cervus elaphus hippelaphus. It matches the Rfam family "7SK RNA", at positions 1 to 240 of the family's 331-position model. Rfam says of the family: 7SK was discovered as an abundant small nuclear RNA in the mid-70s but a possible function has only recently been suggested. Two independent studies have found that 7SK RNA binds the CDK9/cyclin T complex (known as elongation factor P-TEFb). P-TEFb activates transcription by phosphorylating the C-terminal domain of RNA polymerase II. Lineage: Eukaryota; Metazoa; Chordata; Mammalia; Artiodactyla; Cervidae. The record is from RNAcentral.